RNAcentral lists this ribosomal RNA (265 nucleotides) under uncultured bacterium. RNAcentral describes it as "partial 16S ribosomal RNA". It matches the Rfam family "Bacterial small subunit ribosomal RNA", at positions 331 to 590 of the family's 1533-position model. The record is from RNAcentral.
CUGGGCCUACGGGGGCCAGCAGUAGGGAAUCUUCCACAAUGGGCGAAAGCCUGAUGGAGCAACGCCGCGUGGGUGAAGAAGGUCUUCGGAUCGUAAAACCCUGUUGUUAGAGAAGAAAGUGCGUGAGAGUAACUGUUCACGUUUCGACGGUAUCUAACCAGAUAGCCACGGCUAACUACGUGCCAGCAGCCGCGGUAAUACGUAGUUGGCAAGCGUUAUCCGGAUUUAUUGGGCGUAAAGGGAACUCUGGCGGUCUUUUAAGUCU